UACAGAGGUCUCAAGCGUUGUUCGGAUUCAUUGGGCGUAAAGGGUUCGUAGGCGGCGCGGUAAGUCGGGUGUGAAAUCUUGGAGCUUAACUCCGAAACUGCAUUCGAUACUGCCGUGCUUGAGGACUGGAGAGGAGACUGGAAUUUACGGUGUAGCGGUGAAAUGCGUAGAUAUCGUAAGGAAGACCAGUGGCGAAGGCGGGUCUCUGGACAGUUCCUGACGCUGAGGCACGAAGGCCAGGGGAGCAAACGGG
This 253-nucleotide ribosomal RNA is filed under the name uncultured bacterium. RNAcentral describes it as "partial 16S ribosomal RNA". It matches the Rfam family "Bacterial small subunit ribosomal RNA", at positions 524 to 776 of the family's 1533-position model. The record is from RNAcentral.